RNAcentral lists this ribosomal RNA (450 nucleotides) under uncultured bacterium. RNAcentral describes it as "partial 16S ribosomal RNA". It matches the Rfam family "Bacterial small subunit ribosomal RNA", at positions 354 to 796 of the family's 1533-position model. The record is from RNAcentral.
GUGGGGAAUAUUGGACAAUGGGCGAAAGCCUGAUCCAGCCAUGUCGCGUGUGUGAAGAAGGUCUUCGGACUGUAAAGCACUUUAAGUUGGGAGGAAGGGCAGUAAGUUAAUACCUUGCUGUUUUGACGGUACCAACAGAAUAAGCACCGGCUAACUUCGUGCCAGCAGCCGCGGUAAUACGAAGGGUGCAAGCGUUAAUCGGAAUUACUGGGCGUAAAGCGCGCGUAGGUGGUUUUGUAAGUUGGAGGUGAAAUCCCCGGGCUCAACCUGGGAACUGCCUCCAAAACUGCAUGACUAGAGUACGGUAGAGGGUAGUGGAAUUUCCUGUGUAGCGGUGAAAUGCGUAGAUAUAGGAAGUAACACCAGUGGCGAAGGCGACUACCUGGACUGAUACUGACACUGAGGUGCGAAAGCGUGGGGAGCAAACAGGAUUAGAAACCCCGGUAGUCC